Molecule: transfer RNA, 93 nt
Filed under: Alkalilimnicola ehrlichii
Lineage: Bacteria; Pseudomonadati; Pseudomonadota; Gammaproteobacteria; Chromatiales; Ectothiorhodospiraceae
Description: tRNA-Ser
Rfam family: tRNA
About the family: Transfer RNA (tRNA) molecules are approximately 80 nucleotides in length.
Source: RNAcentral
GGAGAGAUGGCCGAGUGGCUGAAGGCGCUCCCCUGCUAAGGGAGUAUGGGUAUAAAACGCCCAUCGAGGGUUCGAAUCCCUCUCUCUCCGCCA